AUUGAACGCUGGCGGCAUGCUUUACACAUGCAAGUCGAACGGCAGCGCGGGCUUCGGCCUGGCGGCGAGUGGCGAACGGGUGAGUAAUGCAUCGGAACGUGCCCAGUAGUGGGGGAUAGCCCGGCGAAAGCCGGAUUAAUACCGCAUACGACCUGAGGGUGAAAGCGGGGGACCGAAAGGCCUCGCGCUAUUGGAGCGGCCGAUGUCGGAUUAGCUAGUUGGUUGGGUAAAGGCUUACCAAGGCGACGAUCCGUAGCUGGUCUGAGAGGACGACCAGCCACACGGGGACGGGAACACGGCCCAGGCGCCUAAGGGAGGCCGCAGUGGGGAAUUUUGGGCAAUGGGGGCAACCCUGAUCCAGCCAUGGCGCGUGCGGGAAAGAGGCCUUCGGGUUGUAAACCGCUUUUGUUCGGGAAGAAAUCCUCUGGGCUAAUACCCCGGGGGGAUGACGGUACCGGAAGAAUAAGCACCGGCUAACUACGUG
This 484-nucleotide ribosomal RNA is filed under the name uncultured bacterium. RNAcentral's name for it is "partial 16S ribosomal RNA". It matches the Rfam family "Bacterial small subunit ribosomal RNA", at positions 28 to 507 of the family's 1533-position model. The record is from RNAcentral.